Molecule: ribosomal RNA, 841 nt
Filed under: Metarhizium robertsii
Lineage: Eukaryota; Fungi; Ascomycota; Sordariomycetes; Hypocreales; Clavicipitaceae
Also listed under: 1 other name
Description: partial 28S ribosomal RNA
Rfam family: Eukaryotic large subunit ribosomal RNA
Source: RNAcentral
AUUGCCCCAGUAACGGCGAGUGAAGCGGCAACAGCUCAAAUUUGAAAUCUGGUCCCCAGGGCCCGAGUUGUAAUUUGCAGAGGAUGCUUUUGGUGAGGUGCCUUCCGAGUUCCCUGGAACGGGACGCCAUAGAGGGUGAGAGCCCCGUCUGGUUGGAUACCGAGCCUCUGUAAAGCUCCUUCGACGAGUCGAGUAGUUUGGGAAUGCUGCUCUAAAUGGGAGGUAUAUGUCUUCUAAAGCUAAAUAUUGGCCAGAGACCGAUAGCGCACAAGUAGAGUGAUCGAAAGAUGAAAAGCACUUUGAAAAGAGGGUUAAAUAGUACGUGAAAUUGUUGAAAGGGAAGCACUUAUGACCAGACUUGGCCCCGGUGAAUCAUCCAGCGGUUCCCGCUGGUGCACUUUGCCGGGGUUCAGGCCAGCAUCAGUUCGCUCCGGGGGAUAAAGGCUUUGGGAAUGUGGCUCCCUCGGGAGUGUUAUAGCCCAUUGCGUAAUACCCUGUGGCGGGCUGAGGUUCGCGCUUUAUGCAAGGAUGCUGGCAUAAUGGUCAUCAGUGACCCGUCUUGAAACACGGACCAAGGAGUCGUCUUCGUAUGCGAGUGUUCGGGUGUUAAACCCCUACGCGUAAUGAAAGUGAACGCAGGUGAGAGCCCUCCAGGGCGCAUCAUCGACCGAUCCUGAUGUUCUCGGAUGGAUUUGAGUAAGAGCAUACGGGGCCGGACCCGAAAGAAGGUGAACUAUGCCUGUAUAGGGUGAAGCCAGAGGAAACUCUGGUGGAGGCUCGCAGCGGUUCUGACGUGCAAAUCGAUCGUCAAAUAUGGGCAUGGGGGCGAAAGACUAAUCGA